This 583-nucleotide long non-coding RNA is filed under the name Cottoperca gobio. Its description in RNAcentral is "lncRNA (ENSCGOG00000004060.1)". The record is from RNAcentral. Lineage: Eukaryota; Metazoa; Chordata; Actinopteri; Perciformes; Bovichtidae.
UCAGAGUUGAAGCAGCCUAGGUGUUUUCUGUGUGUCUGUGUGAGGGGAAAUAAAAACUGCAGACUAUUUCUGUGACCACAUACAUUGUUACCAAAGUGGGCGAUGUUGCCGGACACCGACUGAGGCAGGUGUUGUUGUACAAGACUUCUGAAACGCCCCUCGUUAGCUGCAGAGAGAGGGAGGGAACAGCCAUGAGUCUGCUGUGAUAAUGGAUCGCAAAAGGACAGGCAGGAACAGAAAACAAAGAUCCUGUGACUCUAACAGUGUUGUGGAGUCUGAGUACGACGUGGUGGAUGACCAGGAGGAAGUGCUGCAUAUCCGCAUACUUCCUGCAAAGCCCAUAGAUGAUGAGCAAGACUAUGCAGUCUGCUGCUGCUGCUGCUGCAGUGUGCUGCUGGGACUGGUUACAACAAUGAUAAACUCAUGUUGUGUUUAAACUGUCGACUAACACGGGAGCUACUGAAAAUACGAUCAUUACUGUCGCCGAUCAAAGUGGGGGCAUCACAACUUCUUUUGCUUUCAAGACAGGGAUCUUCCAUGGUCUUCAUUUGCCCAUAGCCCGUCAUCACUCUCCAGUGUAAGC